This is a non-coding RNA of Macaca mulatta (Rhesus monkey), 1839 nucleotides long. The record is from RefSeq and is a predicted model, not a curated record. Lineage: Eukaryota; Metazoa; Chordata; Mammalia; Primates; Cercopithecidae.
AAAACACUUUCCUUCUGGAAUUCUCUUAUUUCUUCCUGAAAUACACUGCUUUGAAAUUCAUGAGUGAUUGUCUGCUGAUUGCAAACUCUGGGUUUUGUUCCUCUGAAAAUAUCUUUCUAUCUCCUUAUCAAAAAUAUUUUUGUGAGUUUACCAUUCAAGUUCUCAAGUUCCGCAGUUAUUUUCUCCCAGGGCUUUGAAGAUCUUAUCCAACUGUCUUCCAGCUUCCAGGGCUGCUGAGGAAUCGCCUGUUGGGUGGAGUCCCCGCCCUCUGUGCAGGGGCCGCUCUUUCUCUGCAGCUGUUGACUUGGUGAUUUGCAUUUUCACCAGGAGGUGUUUAGAUGUGUGUGUUUAGGGAGUCAGGGAGGCUUUCGGGGCACAGCGCCCAUGCCUGUCUCAGACACCAUCCUGUGAGCCCUCUAUUCCCCAGUAAACACCUGCUCACCAUCGCUCCUUCUCCUUUUCCUCCUGCGACUCUCGGGGACACACUAGGCUUCCUCAGUCCUUCGAGUUUCUUAACGUUUUUCAUUCACAUUUUUGGUCUUUUUGUCCUGCCUCAACGGGAAAUUUCGACGACACCACUUUCCAUUUUCUUGAGUUGUGUCUGACUGGCAGUUGGUUUUAAAUUCCACCCAUCUGUGUUCUUUCACGAUGCUCCUUUUUAAUCCUGAGAGUCCUUGUUCCGCCACCACAUUCCCCCUGGCUCUCCCCUGGACUCAGCUCUGCUGUGUGAAUUCUGUCUCCCCUGGACUCUGCUCUGCUGUGUGAAUUCCGAGCUGGAGCCUCCCAGUCCCGCCAGGCCUCCACCCUGCAUUUCUCCGCUUCCCUUGACUCACAGGCGAGGAUUGUUGACAAACACAUUGCUGAUGAUGGGAGAAGAUGGAUGUAACCCGGGGGGUCCUACAGCGGGGAGCUGGUUAAGGAAUCCACCGACCUCAGCUGCAGAGCGCCCCUUCCAGACUCGCCGUCGCCUUUCGAUAGAGGGUGCCACCGGAUGGAGACAACACGGAAGGAGAGACAAGCCUUACAGAGACAACGUCCAGCGCCAGGCAGGACGCCGGAGGAAAGAGCCUGUAGGUGGUGCUGGUGGGAGAAGGAAAUGGUACAAGCGCGGCGGAAAACCUGUGGCAGUUACCCAGUGACAUUGACACACGUGCUCUCCGAUUCCGCCAAAUCACGGGGAGCACAGCCCACAGAAAGGCCUGCACACCCCUGAAAGAUGCUCACAGGGACGCCACGGCCCUGCUCCUCCUCACGAGGGGAGAGGGAAAUGGCUGUAAUACCCAUCUAUGGUAGAAAAGAUCGAUAACUUGGAAACGGGUAAAUAUUCAGGAUGAAAUGUUAUCCCGUAACCCACAUGAACCCUCUGUAAUUCCUCUCAACAGUGCGGAUGAACCUCGCAAAGAAAAUGUGCGAAAGGAACUAACUAGAAAAUACAAAGCACUGUACGAUUCUAUUUAUAUAAUGUGCAAAAACGAAUGCGCUGAUAAAAGCUAAGAUUGUAGUUAUCUCUGGGCAUGGGCAGAGGACAGGAAGGACUUCUGGACGCGGUAAUGUUCUCUUUAUUAAUCUGGUGACACGCGCGUCCCGCUGAGUGAAAGUUCACUGAGCUGUACCUUGCAUGCACCAUUUUGUGAAUAUGUCAGACAUACAUCAUUAGUAAUUGACUUGGAGAAAUAAUAAAAGGAUCUGCAAGGAUACAGCCAGAGAAAUACAAAUCCAACGAGUAAGAAGUAAAAAUUAUUGUUAGACAAUGUAGAGUUUAAGGUUAAAAUAAUUACAUUGAAUAGAGUGGCUGAUUGUAUAUCAAUAAAACAUCAACCUGGUGAAUGUGGCGAAAAA